RNAcentral lists this ribosomal RNA (559 nucleotides) under uncultured bacterium. Its description in RNAcentral is "bacterial SSU rRNA". It matches the Rfam family "Bacterial small subunit ribosomal RNA", at positions 338 to 916 of the family's 1533-position model. The record is from RNAcentral.
CCUACGGGAGGCAGCAGUGGGGAAUCUUAGACAAUGGGGGCAACCCUGAUCUAGCCAUGCCGCGUGAGUGAUGAAGGCCUUAGGGUCGUAAAGCUCUUUCGCCUGUGAUGAUAAUGACAGUAGCAGGUAAAGAAACCCCGGCUAACUCCGUGCCAGCAGCCGCGGUAAUACGGAGGGGGUUAGCGUUGUUCGGAAUUACUGGGCGUAAAGCGCGCGUAGGCGGAUUAGAAAGUUGGGGGUGAAAUCCCGGGGCUCAACCCCGGAACUGCCUCCAAGACUGCUAGUCUAGAGUUCGAGAGAGGUGAGUGGAAUUCCGAGUGUAGAGGUGAAAUUCGUAGAUAUUCGGAGGAACACCAGUGGCGAAGGCGGCUCACUGGCUCGAUACUGACGCUGAGGUGCGAAAGUGUGGGGAGCAAACAGGAUUAGAUACCCUGGUAGUCCACACCGUAAACGAUGAAUGCCAGUCGUCGGGUAGUAUACUAUUCGGUGACACACCUAACGGAUUAGGCAUUCCGCCUGGGGAGUACGGUCGCAAGAUUAAAACUCAAAGGAAUGACGG